Molecule: long non-coding RNA, 1539 nt
Organism: Schistocerca gregaria
Lineage: Eukaryota; Metazoa; Arthropoda; Insecta; Orthoptera; Acrididae
Exons: 2
Source: RefSeq, a predicted model, not a curated record
CUCAACAAACCAUAAGGACAUUGGUACUUUAUACUUCAUAUUUGGAGCAUGAGCAGGAAUAGUAGGAACAUCAAUAAGAAUACUUAUUCGUGCUGAACUUGGCCAACCCGGAUCUCUAAUUGGGGAUGACCAGAUUUAUAAUGUUAUUAUUACAGCUCACGCAUUCGUAAUAAUUUUCUUUAUAGUAAUACCUAUUAUAAUUGGUGGAUUUGGUAAUUGACUUGUUCCACUAAUAAUUGGUGCACCAGAUAUAGCAUUUCCACGAAUAAAUAAUAUAAGUUUUUGAUUACUACCACCUUCACUAACCCUUCUUCUUACAUCUUCUAUAGUAGAUAAUGGUGCUGGUACAGGAUGAACAGUUUACCUUCCUCUAGCAGGAGCUAUUGCACACGGGGGUGCAUCUGUAGAUCUAGCUAUUUUUUCACUGCACUUAGCAGGUGUAUCAUCUAUUCUUGGUGCAGUGAAUUUCAUUACAACAGCAAUUAAUAUACGAUCAGAAAGUAUAACUUUAGAUCAAACACCUUUAUUUGUAUGAUCUGUAGCUAUUACAGCAUUACUUCUCCUUCUUUCACUUCCAGUUUUAGCAGGAGCUAUUACUAUAUUAUUAACAGAUCGAAAUUUAAAUACAUCAUUCUUUGACCCUGCAGGAGGGGGUGACCCAAUUCUAUAUCAACAUCUAUUUUGAUUCUUUGGACACCCAGAAGUUUAUAUUUUAAUUCUACCGGGGUUCGGAAUUAUUUCACAUAUUGUAUGUCAAGAAAGAGGAAAAAUUGAAUCAUUUGGAACAUUAGGUAUAAUUUAUGCUAUACUAUCAAUUGGACUAAUAGGAUUUAUUGUAUGAGCACAUCAUAUAUUUACAGUAGGAAUGGAUGUUGACACACAAGCAUAUUUUACAUCAGCAACAAUAAUUAUUGCUGUACCUACAGGAAUUAAGGUAUUUAGAUGAUUAGCUACAUUAUAUGGAACUAAAUUCAAGUUCAAUCCACCAUUAUUAUGAGCUCUAGGAUUUAUUUUCCUAUUUACAAUUGGUGGAUUAACAGGAUUAGUAUUAGCAAAUUCAUCACUUGAUAUUGUAUUACAUGAUACAUAUUAUGUAGUAGCCCACUUUCAUUAUGUAUUAUCUAUAGGAGCAGUAUUUGCAAUUAUAGGAGGUGUCAUUCAAUGAUAUCCACUAUUUACAGGAUUAACUAUAAAUAAUACAUGAUUAAAAAUCCAAUUUACAAUUAUAUUCACUGGAGUAAAUUUAACAUUCUUUCCUCAACACUUCCUAGGAUUAGCAGGAAUACCUCGACGAUACUCUGACUACCCAGACGCAUAUACAUCAUGAAACGUAGUAUCAAGAAUUGGGUCUACAAUUUCUAUUGUAGGAAUCAUUAUAUUCAUUGUAAUUAUAUGAGAAAGAAUGAUUACAAACCGAGCAAUUAUAUUUAGAGCUAACAUAAGAAGAUCAACAGAAUGACUACAAAAUAACCCUCCUGCAGAACAUAGUUACUCAGAAUUACCAUUAAUCUCUAGAUUCUAAUAUGGCAGAUUAGUGCA